AAAAUGGUGUUUUUAGACACCCUUUCAUUUUCUAAUUAAAAAAAUGG
This is a non-coding RNA of Angiostrongylus costaricensis, 47 nucleotides long. NCBI's taxonomy places the organism in Eukaryota, Metazoa, Nematoda, Chromadorea, Rhabditida, Metastrongylidae. The record is from Rfam.